UACGGGGGGGGCAAGCGUUGUUCGGAAUUACUGGGCGUAAAGAGCGUGUAGGCGGCCAGGUAGGUCUGCUGUGAAAUCCCGAGGCUCAACCUCGGGUCUGCAGUCGAUACGAGCAAACUAGAGUGUUGCAGGGGAGACUGGAAUUCCUGGUGUAGCGGUGAAAUGCGCAGAUAUCAGGAGGAACACCGGUGGCGAAGGCGGGUCUCUGGGCAACAACUGACGCUGAGGAGCGAAAGCGUGGGGAGCGAACAGG
This 253-nucleotide ribosomal RNA is filed under the name uncultured bacterium. RNAcentral describes it as "partial 16S ribosomal RNA". It matches the Rfam family "Bacterial small subunit ribosomal RNA", at positions 524 to 776 of the family's 1533-position model. The record is from RNAcentral.